ACGCAAUAGAUACCCGGUAGUCCUGGCAGUAAACGGUGCGCGUUUGGUGUGGGAGGAUUCGACCCCUUCUGUGCCGGAGCUAAACGCGUUAAACGCGCCGCCUGGGGAGUACGGUCGCAAGAUUAAAACUCAAAGAAAUUGACGGGGGCCCGCACAAGCGGUGGAGUAUGUGGCUUAAUUCGAUGCAACGCGAAGAACCUUACCUAGCCUUGACAUGCAUCUCUAAGUCGGUGAAAGCCGGCGAGUGUAGCAAUGCACAAUUUGCACAGGUGCUGCAUGGCUGUCGUCAGCUCGUGUCGUGAGAUGUUGAGUUAAGUCCCGCAACGAGCGCAACCCCUGUGAACUGUUGCCACCACACUUCGGUGUGAGCACUCUGUUCAGACUGCCCUGUGAAACGGGGAGGAAGGUGGGGAUGACGUCAAGUCAGCAUGGCCCUUACGGCUAGGGCUGCACACGUACUACAAUGCUCAGUACAGAACGAACCGAAACCGCGAGGUGGAGGAAAUCCCAAAAACUGAGCUCAA
RNAcentral lists this ribosomal RNA (524 nucleotides) under uncultured bacterium. Its description in RNAcentral is "bacterial SSU rRNA". It matches the Rfam family "Bacterial small subunit ribosomal RNA", at positions 772 to 1291 of the family's 1533-position model. The record is from RNAcentral.